GUGGAUUAGAUACCCUGGUAGUCCUGGCAGUAAACGGUGCGCGUUUGGUGUGGGAGGAUUCGACCCCUCCUGUGCCGGAGCUAACGCGUUAAACGCGCCGCCUGGGGAGUACGGUCGCAAGAUUAAAACUCAAAGAAAUUGACGGGGGCCCGCACAAGCGGUGGAGUAUGUGGCUUAAUUCGAUGCAACGCGAAGAACCUUACCUGGGCUUGACAUGUAUCUCUAAGUCGGUGAAAGCCGGCGAGUGUAGCAAUACACGAUUUACACAGGUGCUGCACGGUUGUCGCCAACU
RNAcentral lists this ribosomal RNA (292 nucleotides) under uncultured bacterium. RNAcentral describes it as "partial 16S ribosomal RNA". It matches the Rfam family "Bacterial small subunit ribosomal RNA", at positions 773 to 1060 of the family's 1533-position model. The record is from RNAcentral.